GACGAACCGUGCGAACGUUAUUCGGAAUCACUGGGCUUAAAGCGCGUGUAGGCGGGGUGGCACGUCGGUCGCUGAAAGCCCCCGCUCAACCGGGGAAGGGGCGCCGAUACGACCACCCUGGAGGGACGUAGGGGGACCUGGAACUUCCGGUGGAGCGGUGAAAUGCGUUGAGAUCGGAAGGAACGCCCGUGGCGAAAGCGAGGUCCUGGACGUUUACUGACGCUGAGACGCGAAAGCCAGGGGAGCGAACGGG
Molecule: ribosomal RNA, 253 nt
Filed under: uncultured bacterium
Lineage: Bacteria
Description: partial 16S ribosomal RNA
Rfam family: Bacterial small subunit ribosomal RNA
Source: RNAcentral